GUCCGGUGAAGUUUUCGGAUCGCGGCGACGCCGGCGGUUCGCCGCCGGUGACGUUGUGAGAAGUUCAUURAACCUUAUCAUUUAGAGGAAGGAGAAGUCGUAACAAGGUUUCCGUAG
RNAcentral lists this ribosomal RNA (117 nucleotides) under Sedum sarmentosum. RNAcentral describes it as "partial 18S ribosomal RNA". It matches the Rfam family "Eukaryotic small subunit ribosomal RNA", at positions 1716 to 1828 of the family's 1831-position model. The record is from RNAcentral. Lineage: Eukaryota; Viridiplantae; Streptophyta; Magnoliopsida; Saxifragales; Crassulaceae.